AUGUCGCUCUCCAAGCCGCUCGCCGCGCGCCGCCUCGUGCCGGCGCUCUUCCCGCUCGCCCACGCGGACGCCGCCUCGGCCGCGGCCUCCCGCCGCGCCCGCCGCCGGGGCGCCUUCGUCGCGACGCCCCCGGCCCCGCCGCCCUCCCCGAGCUCCGUGCGCCUCGCGGAGCCGCUCCCCUCGCUCGCCCCCUCCCGCCUCGCGCUCCACAACCGCGUCCUCGCGCUCCUCUCCCCCGCCGCCGCCGCCCAGGCCCCCGACCUCAACGAGGCCGCGCUGCUCACCCGCCACGCGCUCCACUCCAACUGCCGCCCCUCCUCCUUCACCUGCGUCGCCGUCCUCGCCGCGCUCCUCCGCGCGCGCCGCCUCGACGACUUCUUCGCGCUCCACCGCUUCGCCCUCCAGGCCGCCGUCCCGCCCACCGCCGCCACCCACGCGCUCUACCUCUCCGCCCUCGCCGCCCGCCGCCUCCCCGACGCCGCGCUCCUCCACCUCCGCCUCAUCGCCCGCCCCAGAUCCCCGGUGCCCCCCUCUCCGACCGCCUACCGGGUCGUCGUCAGGUGCCUCGUCGCGGACCACGGCCGCCUCGCCGACGCCGUCGCGCUCAAGGAUGAGAUGCUCGCCUCCGGGUUCGUCGGGCCCGAUCCCCAUGUGUACAGCCUCCUCAUGGCCGGGUUUGUGGAAGCCGGGGAUGGGGCCAAAGCUGUGGAGCUGCACCAAGAACUGCAGGACAAGCUUGGUGGCGAGCCGGUCCUCGAUGGCAUCGUGUACGGGAGCCUCAUGAAGGCCUACUUCCUUAUGGGAAUGGAGGAGAAGGCCAUGGAGUGCUACAAAGAGGUCUUCACCCCGGAAUCAGAGGUGAGGUUUGGGACCGAGAGCUAUAAUGAGGUGCUCGAUGCGCUUGGGAAGAACCAAAGGUUAGAGGAUGCACUCAACCUGUUCGACAGAAUGCUCGGGGAGCAUGACCCUCCACUGAGGAUUACGGUUGACGUGAGAAGCUUCAGCGUGAUGGUGGAUGCCUACUGUGCUGCUGGAAGGUUUGAGGAUGCGAUUGCGGUGUUUCGGAGGAUGGGGGAGUAUAAGGUGGUGCCGGAUGUAGCAGCAUACAACAAUCUGAUUCGGCAUCUCGGGCUUAAUAAGCUGGUCGAUGAGGCAGAGGUGCUCCACAAGGAGAUGGGCGAGCAUGGUCUUGUUCCGGAUGAGGAGACAUGUGUGCUGCUCAUGGAGGCGUGCUUUAAGGCUGAUCGCAUCGACGAUGGUAUCAGCUACUUCGACAGAAUGGCUGAGCUGGAGUUGAAGCCUGAUGCAUCGCAUUAUCAUAGGAUCAUCGACGGCUUGGUUGAUUUAAGCUUGCUCGACAAGGCUCAGGAGUACUUCGAUGAGAUGAGGGAGAAGAAAAUUCACCCAAGCAUUGCAACCUACGAGACACUGCUAAAGGCAUAUGUUGGCGUUGGGGUGACACGGUUGGAUGAUGCAGCCAAGGUAGCAAAGUGUAUCCUUUUGGAUGAGAAUGUGGUUUUCAGUGAUGAGACGAGGGAGCUCCUGGAAGGCGCGCUCCGUGGAGAGGGCAGGGAAGAUGACAUAGCAAAGCUGUAUGAAGACGUGGAGAGGGAGAAGGCCGAAGCAGUUCUGCGGGCGGAAGAAGAGAAGGCGAGGGCAGAGGCACUUGCCAGGGAAGAGAGGGCGACAAGGAGGGCAGAGGCUGCUGCCAAGGACGAGGCUGCAGCUAAAGCUAGUGCUGCUGCCAUUGAGGCCAUCAUUGGCCAUAGAAGGAAAACCGAGGGCGAGACCGAAGCACCCGCAUCUACUCCGAACACUCUUGAUGCCGGGAUUCUCAGCAGGCUUGGCCUCAGUUCACCUGGAGAAGGUGCGCCUCAAGACACUCCAAUAAUAAGUACUGAAACAAAAGGAGACGGGCAGGAGCAAUUUUGA
Molecule: ribosomal RNA, 1932 nt
Filed under: Triticum aestivum (bread wheat)
Lineage: Eukaryota; Viridiplantae; Streptophyta; Magnoliopsida; Poales; Poaceae
Description: partial small subunit ribosomal RNA
Source: RNAcentral